This is a long non-coding RNA of Homo sapiens (human), 1603 nucleotides long. Ensembl annotates it as vanin 3, pseudogene. Its record names the gene VNN3P. The record is from Ensembl. NCBI's taxonomy places the organism in Eukaryota, Metazoa, Chordata, Mammalia, Primates, Hominidae.
AAUGUAAAGUUUUUCCAGUGAAACAAAACGUAAGAAUCUGAGUUUGUUUUUCAAAGAUCACUAAAUUUUAGUUAUGAUUAUAUCACAUUUUCCAAAAUGUGUGGCAGUUUUUGCCCUCCUUGCUCUGAGUGUUGGUGCACUGGACACUUUUAUUGCUGCAGUAUAUGAGCAUGCGGUGAUAUUACCAAACAGAACAGAAACACCUGUUUCAAAAGAAGAAGCUUUGCUCCUGAUGAACAAGAACAUAGAUGUUUUGGAGAAAGCAGUUAAGCUGGCAGCGAAGCAGGGUGCACAUAUCAUUGUGACCCCAGAAGAUGGAAUCUAUGGUUGGAUCUUCACCAGGGAGAGCAUUUACCCCUAUCUAGAGGAUAUACCAGACCCUGGAGUGAACUGGAUUCCAUGUAGAGACCCCUGGAGGAAGAGUAAAAAGAUGAAUGAGCCUGUUUCCAAAGAGCUUUGCUAUCACUGUCAUUCAGAAUGCAAUCAAUAUGGCCAAUGGAAAUUGUAUAGGACUUGAAAAAGGAAGCCCUACUUCUGGGACCACAUUUUACGACCACCUAGCUGAGUGAUAAAUCACUAAAAUAUAGUAAGUUUGAGGAAAUGUCUAUUGAAUUAGAUUCGGCAACACACCAGUGCAACAAAGACUCAGCUGCCUGGCCAAGGACAACUCUAUCUAUGUCGUGGCUAAUAUUGGGGACAAGAAGCCAUGCAAUGCCAGUGACUCUCAGUGUCCCCCUGAUGGCCGUUACCAAUACAACACUGAUGUGGUGUUUGAUUCUCAGGGAAAACUGUUGGCACGCUACCAUAAGCAUGGUACAACACGCUGCCCCUCCUCUCGGCUGUUCCCUUCCAUUCAGCAUGGGCCAAGGCCAUGGGAGUCAAUCUACUUGCUGCAAAUACCCACAACACCAGCAUGCACAUGACAGGGAGUGGAAUCUACGCCCCAGAAGCAGUCAAGGUGUACCACUAUGACAUGGAAACAGAGAGUGGUCAGCUGUUGCUAUCAGAACUGAAGUCUCGGCCCCGCCGUGAGCCCACCUACCCUGCAGCUGUUGACUGGCAUGCGUAUGCCAGCAGUGUCAAGCCAUUUUCCUCUGAACAGUCAGAUUUUCUGGGGAUGAUUUAUUUUGAUGAGUUUACCUUCACCAAGCUUAAGAGAAAUACAGGAAAUUACACAGCUUGCCAGAAAGAUCUGUGUUGUCACUUAACUUACAAGAUGUCUGAGAAGCGAACAGACGAGAUCUAUGCCCUAGGUGCUUUUGAUGGACUGCACACAGUAGAAGGCCAAUAUUACUUACAGAUAUGUGCAUUACUGAAGUGUCAAACCACUGACCUGGAAACGUGUGGAGAACCUGUGGGGUCAGCUUUUACCAAGUUUGAAGACUUCUCCCUCAGUGGCACAUUUGGAACGCGUUAUGUUUUCCCACAGAUCAUUCUAAGUGGGAGUCAGCUUGCCCCUGAAAGACAUUAUGAGAUUUCAAGAGAUGGACGCUUGAGGAGCCGAAGUGGAGCCCCUUUGCCUGUCUUAGUUAUGGCCCUGUAUGGAAGAGUGUUUGAGAAGGACCCUCCACGCUUAGGGCAGGGAUCUGGGAAAUUCCAGUGA